UUCUUUAUGUCACAUUCAGCUUAAAUAGCUUUUGUGAGCGCUCCAGUGUCACUCUAAUGUUUUGCUGCGGUGUGAUACCAGGUGUUUUGAAUAUAUGGAAAGAUUCUCACUUUAACAUGAAGGAGAGGAGCAACUCUGGAAAAAAAAACACAUAAAUCUAUGGGUCACAUGGGAAAUGAAAUGCCCUUUGAUUUGCCCGCCCACGUUGUCCCAGCAAUUAAUUUCACAUGAUUAGGCAGGUUAAAUCUACUAUAAUCCUGUGAGGUUCAUCUUGUGGAUUACUUUAAAAUGGGAUGACUCAACCACUCCAGUUUCCUCUAAGCAGAAGAGAACUUCUGUGGAGAGACACAUAAUUGAUAUUUAAAGCGUUAUGUAAUGAACAGGCAGCUCUAAAUUAUUGUACUUAGUGGCUCCAAAGCGGCUUCCUUGAUUUCACAGUUCUGGAACAAAUCACAUAAUUGAGUGCUAAACCAGACCAGGCUAAUUUAUGCUUUUUCUGUGUGCCAUAAAAACCAGAAAACUGCCAUUAAAAUUCAGAUGAUUUGGAUUAAAUUAACAAAAUAUCAUUUUACACAGGCAUAUUUCUUCCAAGAGGAUAAUCUGACUGAUUUUUUUUUUUUUUUCUUUUUUGAGCAUUAAUGUCUUUGUCUAGGACUGGCAGGCGUCAACCCCAUGACGACCCCACCCACUGCUUCACUGUGAACAGGCAGAAUUGAAACAUUAUCUCCCGCCUCAGAUUUAAAUUAAAGCCAUGACAAGAAGAAAGGGGGGGACCUUCCAGCCACCGCUUCCAUUGCUCACACUCGACUGGCAUAUGGGCAGCAUCAGGAAACACAAGCUGCAAUGAUGUGACGACCAACUGACCCCGGGGUGACAGGUUUGGAGGGUGUUCUUGCCCAAUGCCCUCAGGCCAAAGUCAAGUAUGUCAAUGUUGUGCAUGUGGAUUUCAUUUGAAACAGCAUGAUUCGUUCACAGACGCUCAACUGCAACCCCCCCCCCCCCACAUGGGAAACCCACUCUUGACAGGAAACGGUAUGUUUUUGUUAGCAACAAACAGGCAUAAAUUACUAAAAUGGAGCCUCAGUUGCCAAUUUAUCACACACAGCCUUAUUGUUGCUGCUUGCACACAUUUGACAUCGACACUGCUUUUAAGGUAAUUACAAUUAGUUAAUGAUAUUUACAUUCCUGAUCAUUUAUUUCGAACUGUGUCUACAAUCAUGAAUUUGUGCAAUAAAUGUGAUAAUUGUU
Non-coding RNA from Plectropomus leopardus (leopard coralgrouper), 1248 nucleotides. The record is from RefSeq and is a predicted model, not a curated record. Lineage: Eukaryota; Metazoa; Chordata; Actinopteri; Perciformes; Serranidae.